Small nucleolar RNA from Myotis lucifugus (little brown bat), 145 nucleotides. Ensembl annotates it as small nucleolar RNA SNORA57. The record is from Ensembl. NCBI's taxonomy places the organism in Eukaryota, Metazoa, Chordata, Mammalia, Chiroptera, Vespertilionidae.
CCUUCUCUUCUUGGUGGGGUCGGGCGUACGGUCUGGUGCCCUGAAGUACAGAGGAGAAUGAAAGGGCUCUGGCCACCUUGGCAUCCUGCCUUGGGUGCCAAUGGUUUCCAGUCUGCCAGUUCUAUCCUCAAGAGCCAGAAUGGAG